This 68-nucleotide transfer RNA is filed under the name Ephedra sinica (Chinese ephedra). RNAcentral's name for it is "partial tRNA-Thr". Lineage: Eukaryota; Viridiplantae; Streptophyta; Gnetopsida; Ephedrales; Ephedraceae. The record is from RNAcentral.
UUUUUACUCAGUGGUAGAGUAAAGCCAUGGUAAGCGUAAGCAUCGGUUCAAAUCCGAUAAUGGACUUU